Molecule: ribosomal RNA, 253 nt
Filed under: uncultured bacterium
Lineage: Bacteria
Description: partial 16S ribosomal RNA
Rfam family: Bacterial small subunit ribosomal RNA
Source: RNAcentral
UACGAAGGGGGCUAGCGUUGCUCGGAAUCAGUCUGGGCGUAAAGGGUGUCGUAGGCGGGUACUUUAAGUCGAGGGUGAAAUCCUGGGAGCUCAACUCCAGAACUGCCUUUGAUGACUGAAGAUCUUGAGUUCGGGAGAGGUGAGUGGAACUGCGAGUGUAGAGGUGAAAUUCGUAGAUAUUCGCAAGAACACCAGUGGCGAAGGCGGCCUCACUGGCCCGAUACUGACGCUGAGGCACGGAAAGCGUGGGGAG